CACAAAAGUUUAAAAUUCAAUGAAUUUUCUGGUUUCCCUAGUGCAUAUUAAAGUUACAUUUAUACUAUACUAUAG
Long non-coding RNA from Lynx canadensis (Canada lynx), 75 nucleotides. RefSeq lists it as uncharacterized. Lineage: Eukaryota; Metazoa; Chordata; Mammalia; Carnivora; Felidae. The record is from RefSeq and is a predicted model, not a curated record. The transcript has 3 exons.